AUGAACGCUGGCGGCGUGCCUCAUACAUGCAAGUCGAGCGAACAGACGAGGAGCUUGCUCCUUUGACGUUAGCGGCGGACGGGUGAGUAACACGUGGGUAACCUACCUAUAAGACUGGGAUAACUUCGGGAAACCGGAGCUAAUACCGGAUAAUAUUUCGAACCGCAUGGUUCGAUAGUGAAAGAUGGCUUUGCUAUCACUUAUAGAUGGACCUGCGCCGUAUUAGCUAGUUGGUAAGGUAACGGCUUACCAAGGCAACGAUACGUAGCCGACCUGAGAGGGUGAUCGGCCACACUGGAACUGAGACACGGUCCAGACUCCUACGGGAGGCAGCAGUAGGGAAUCUUCCGCAAUGGGCGAAAGCCUGACGGAGCAACGCCGCGUGAGUGAUGAAGGUCUUCGGAUCGUAAAACUCUGUUAUUAGGGAAGAAUAAACGUGUAAGUAACUGUGCACGUCUUGACGGUACCUAAUCAGAAAGCCACGGCUAACUACGUG
RNAcentral lists this ribosomal RNA (496 nucleotides) under uncultured bacterium. RNAcentral's name for it is "partial 16S ribosomal RNA". It matches the Rfam family "Bacterial small subunit ribosomal RNA", at positions 29 to 507 of the family's 1533-position model. The record is from RNAcentral.